Molecule: small RNA, 1123 nt
Filed under: Histoplasma capsulatum
Lineage: Eukaryota; Fungi; Ascomycota; Eurotiomycetes; Onygenales; Ajellomycetaceae
Also listed under: 1 other name
Description: hypothetical RNA
Source: RNAcentral
CCACUCUCUCUCCCACCUCACUGCUAUCACUCUCGUAUUUGCGUAUUCUGGUGACUCCACCUUAAAUACUUAUUGUUAUUACGGAAACACCGGGUUACAUUGCCGAAUUGCCCGCGGAUGGCCAUUCUGUCAUGCAGCAGACGGUUCAGUCCCUAAGGAAAGCUUACGCUGUAAGACACCCAAAUUGUUUAGCCAUGACUAAGAAUCUUGUUCAAUCCUUAUGGUAGCCACCUAUUUCCUCAAGAUAUAUAUCUAUCUGCAUGAUUCACACUAAGUUUGCAUCUUGUCAAUGCUAAACCCUCAGCAGCGCUGAGGAAACUUCCAAAGCCAAACCCCUCAAGGAGAAAAAUCUUCAAGGCUCUUAAGGGUUGGCUGCAUGGCAUCAUUUUCAGUUGAUCAUAUUCAAAUACCCACCGAGGGGAAAUCUAUCUUUCCAGAGCUAUGCCGCCUUGGUAACUACAUCGGGAGGGCAUACAUUAGUCUCGGAACUCGACAAUGACGGAGACUUUUGCAGCAGUCACAGAGAGUACGAGGAAACUCCUGUGAUAUGAACUCGGUUCACUAUUGCGUAGAUCCUUUUACUAGGAUUCUCAACUCUGGAAUCUAUUCCGACCUGCAGUCCUCUGCUAAGGUAGCACUUUCAAGGUACAUUCAUUACAUACAUACAUUGAUGUAGAGUUUGCUCCCAGUUGAAAAAUUUUCUCCGGCGUAUGGACUGGAAGUUUCCAGGUCUAAUUGAUCAGUAACAUAUUGUCGCAGCCAUCCAUUUCGAGUCGUUACUAAUUCGCAUAUAUUUGCCAUCCCUGAGAAGGAAAAUUCUUAUGUGCGUCAAUGAUUUGAAACCAGACAGGAACAAGAGAGGAAAUUAUUGUAGAGGCUGGGUGUGGUGACAAGCUUUCUGACUUCUCACUCCCUUAUUUCCCGCACUGUGGGGAAAGAACUAGGGCUAGGAACCAGGAGGUAAUUGAUUUGUUUGAAUACUGUUAUAAAUUCAUUCAGCCCAAUCAUUUCUCUUUCCUUUCCUUUGCUGGCCAAGCGGUGCAAGCAGCAAUGAUGUCAAACAACAUGAGCAGACUGCAGUGGUCACAAUAAGCACAUAGACCUUUCAUAGAGCAUUGCAUCC